UCCAGUAUGUAACCCAAAUCCUGGAUUGCUAUAUAAUAGUUAUUGGUUGUGAUCUUAAUUUUCUUGUCUGAAACAAUGAUGAUGAUGAUGAUGAUACCUACUUCUGGAUGUUGUAACUCCAUCCAUUAAAUGGUGAUACUAAUGAAGCCUACGUCAUAGAAUUGAGGAAAGGAAGACAAUUUGGGAAAGUGGACAUACAACCUUAACUUGUAGAAGGGGCAGAAGAGUUAAGCUUCCUGCAUUGUGAAACUUUUGGAACUCUGGGUUCUGUUAGCAUUUGCAGACUAAACAUGGGGUGAAGACUGGGAAAUGAGAUGGUAUUGUUGCAAGACAUGAGGUGAGCAGAAUUGUCAGAGAUUGGUCAUUGCCAUACUCA
RNAcentral lists this long non-coding RNA (376 nucleotides) under Canis lupus familiaris (dog). RNAcentral describes it as "lncRNA (ENSCAFG00000036557.3)". Lineage: Eukaryota; Metazoa; Chordata; Mammalia; Carnivora; Canidae. The record is from RNAcentral.